RNAcentral lists this ribosomal RNA (428 nucleotides) under uncultured bacterium. Its description in RNAcentral is "bacterial SSU rRNA". It matches the Rfam family "Bacterial small subunit ribosomal RNA", at positions 355 to 775 of the family's 1533-position model. The record is from RNAcentral.
UAGGGAAUCUUCCGCAAUGGACGAAAGUCUGACGGAGCAACGCCGCGUGAGUGAAGAAGGUUUUCGGAUCGUAAAACUCUGUUGUCAGAGAAGAACAAGUCGGAGAGUAACUGCUCCGGCCUUGACGGUAUCUGACCAGAAAGCCACGGCUAACUACGUGCCAGCAGCCGCGGUAAUACGUAGGUGGCAAGCGUUGUCCGGAUUUAUUGGGCGUAAAGCGAGCGCAGGCGGUUCCUUAAGUCUGAUGUGAAAGCCCACGGCUUAACCGUGGAAGGUCAUUGGAAACUGGGGAACUUGAGUGCAGAAGAGGAGAGUGGAAUUCCAUGUGUAGCGGUGAAAUGCGUAGAUAUAUGGAGGAACACCAGUGGCGAAGGCGACUCUCUGGUCUGUAACUGACGUUGAGGCUCGAAAGCGUGGGGAGCAAACAG